RNAcentral lists this ribosomal RNA (465 nucleotides) under uncultured bacterium. RNAcentral's name for it is "partial 16S ribosomal RNA". It matches the Rfam family "Bacterial small subunit ribosomal RNA", at positions 28 to 507 of the family's 1533-position model. The record is from RNAcentral.
GACGAACGCUGGCGGCGUGCUUAACACAUGCAAGUCGAACGGAAAGGCCCCUUUGGGGGUCCUCGAGUGGCGAACGGGUGAGUAACACGUGAGUAACCUGCCCUUGACUUCGGGAUAACUUCAGGAAACUGGGGCUAAUACCGGAUAGGAAUCCUUGCUGCAUGGUGGGGGGUGGAAAGCUUCGGCGGUUGUGGAUGGACUCGCGGCUUAUCAGCUUGUUGGUGGGGGAGUGGCUUACCAAGGCUUUGACGGGUAGCCGGCCGGAGAGGGCGACCGGCCACAUUUGGACUGAGGUACGGCCCCGACUCCCACGGGAGGCAGCCGUUGGGAAUAUUGCCCCAUGGGCGGAAGCCUGAUUCCGCCACGCCGCGUGCGGGAUGACGGCCUUCGGGUUGUAAACCGCUUUCCGCAGGGGCGAAGCUUGUGGUGACGGUACCUGCAGAAGAAGCACCGGCUAACUACGUG